CAGUCGUACCGACGAGAAAUCAACCUUUCGAGUGCGUAACUUGUGGGCGUGCGUGAGUCUUUAACGGGCCUCGCUGUUUGCAAUGUUUGUACCUUUUGGGGUGUACUUUUUCGAUGGUAGCCAACGUCAGUUUCGAUCACCGUAAAUGAUCGGAGAAUGUAGCUUUGAUCUCGUAUUGAAGUGUUA
RNAcentral lists this ribosomal RNA (186 nucleotides) under Glomus sp. (unid). Lineage: Eukaryota; Fungi; Glomeromycota; Glomeromycetes; Glomerales; Glomeraceae. The record is from RNAcentral.